AGAUUAUUUGCAAAAUGUAUUGUUUCGUAAAUGCUUCUUAAUUUAAACAUGGUUUGCAAAUGCUUGGAUCAAGGUACAUGUAUACAUGCUUUGCACAUUCUAUAGACUUCCAUAAUGUACAAUAUAUAUUUACUAGUCCUGCUUUCUCCAAACUGUCCACUCAGGCAACGAUAUACGGUACAACAUGGGCUGUCAGAGCAAUCAGCAUCUGCAUGUAUUGACGAUCUCCAACUGGACUGUGCUCGAUUGAACUCCAUUUUUAACGUGUGCUGAUGUUCAUCAUGCCAAAGAGACUUGUCCUAGGUUUUGUGGAUUGUGCCUGCUAGUUGAUGGAAACUGGGCAUACUGGAGUAUCUGGUCAAACUGCAGUGGGACAUGUGAAAAUGGGAUACACACACGCACACGCACGUGCACCAACCCGACCCCUAGCAACGGCGGACUCAACUGCAGUGGGCCAAACGUGGACUCCAAAAUAUGUGCAAACCAGGGUUUGUCUGAUAUCUUUGGUUCAUAUCCAUAUUCAGCUAUAUAGUAUACUGCAUGAAUAUAGUUUUAAACAUAUCCUUAAUUAAAAAACAUAAGUUUGAACUGUGCUAUGAUUACACUCUAACACUUAACCUUCAGGUCCGUGAAGAUGGCUCGGUAUUUUGUAUUGUGAAUACACUUACGAAUCAGGGUCAAAUAAUUAGA
Dreissena polymorpha is the source of this 690-nucleotide long non-coding RNA. RefSeq lists it as uncharacterized. The transcript has 3 exons. Lineage: Eukaryota; Metazoa; Mollusca; Bivalvia; Myida; Dreissenidae. The record is from RefSeq and is a predicted model, not a curated record.